UACGUAGGGUGCGAGCGUUAAUCGGAAUUACUGGGCGUAAAGCGUGCGCAGGCGGUUCUGAAAGUCAGCUGUGAAAGCCCCGGGCUUAACCUGGGAAUUGCGGUUGAAACUACAGGGCUAGAAUCUGGCAGAGGGGGGUGGAAUUCCACGUGUAGCAGUGAAAUGCGUAGAGAUGUGGAGGAACACCGAUGGCGAAGGCAGGUCUCUGGGCUGACACUGACGCUCAUGCACGAAAGCGUGGGGAGCAAACAGG
RNAcentral lists this ribosomal RNA (253 nucleotides) under uncultured bacterium. Its description in RNAcentral is "partial 16S ribosomal RNA". It matches the Rfam family "Bacterial small subunit ribosomal RNA", at positions 524 to 776 of the family's 1533-position model. The record is from RNAcentral.